UGUUUAGGAGGUCACUCUACUCUCUACUGUUCACAUGUCACAUAAAACAAUAUUGUCAUUCAUCUCAAACAAUCAAAUUCUUCACAUGCAUAUGUCAUCACAAGGACUUUUUCCAAGGCUUGUAUUGUAGUUGGGCUAUCAAGAAAAAUUGGUUUUUCUGGAAUACAAAAUCCUUGAGUUAAGAGAGUUUAAAUCAUUGUUCAAAUUUAAAGCACACUCUCUUUUUAACCAAUCUCACUCAUUCCCAACUUUUUCCCUUUUUCAUUUUACAUUGAGUUCUUCUUUACAUGUUUUUUCUCUUUUCUUCUUUUCUUUUCUUUUCACAUGCAUUUUUCUGUUCAUAUUUUGUACUCAAUGCUUUCCUUUUUCUUUUUCCUUUCACUUCCCCCAUUCAACCCUAAACUUGAACCUUUCCAACACAUAUAAUUAUUCUCAACCCUAACUCAAGGUAAAUCAAUUCAAACAAGGGUUUUCAUACUGUUUAAGGUCAAGGUUCAAAAAGGGUAUAUCAUUUAAAAUUCUUUGGGUGAAAAUUUGGCUAAGUAAGGGCUUUCCAAGCAUGGC
This 564-nucleotide long non-coding RNA is filed under the name Vigna radiata. Its description in RNAcentral is "long non-coding RNA (VRAD_LNC014998)". Lineage: Eukaryota; Viridiplantae; Streptophyta; Magnoliopsida; Fabales; Fabaceae. The record is from RNAcentral.